ACUCAAAGGAAUAGACGGGGGCCCGCACAAGCGGCGGAGCAUGCGGAUUAAUUCGAUGCAACGCGAAGAACCUUACCUGGGUUUGACAUACACGGAAAACCCGUAGAGAUAUGGGGUCCUUUUAGGGUCGUGUACAGGUGGUGCAUGGCUGUCGUCAGCUCGUGUCGUGAGAUGUUGGGUUAAGUCCCGCAACGAGCGCAACCCUUGUCCUAUGUUGCCAGCACGUAAUGGUGGGGACUCAUAGGAGACUGCCGGGGUCAACUCGGAGGAAGGUGGGGAUGACGCCAAGUCAUCAUGCCCCUUAUGUCCAGGGCUUCACGCAUGCUACAAUGGCCGGUACAGAGGGCUGCGAUACCGUAAGGUGGAGCGAAUCUCGUAAAGCCGGUCUCAGUUCGGAUCGGGGUCUGCAACUCGACCCCGUGAAGUUGGAGUCGCUAGUAAUCGCAGAUCAGCAACGCUGCGGUGAAUACGUUCCCGGGCCUUGUACACACCGCCCGU
RNAcentral lists this ribosomal RNA (498 nucleotides) under uncultured bacterium. RNAcentral describes it as "partial 16S ribosomal RNA". It matches the Rfam family "Bacterial small subunit ribosomal RNA", at positions 899 to 1397 of the family's 1533-position model. The record is from RNAcentral.